This 486-nucleotide RNase P RNA is filed under the name Flavobacteriales bacterium. RNAcentral's name for it is "RNase P RNA component class A". It matches the Rfam family "Bacterial RNase P class A". Rfam says of the family: Ribonuclease P (RNase P) is a ubiquitous endoribonuclease, found in archaea, bacteria and eukarya as well as chloroplasts and mitochondria. Its best characterised activity is the generation of mature 5'-ends of tRNAs by cleaving the 5'-leader elements of precursor-tRNAs. Cellular RNase Ps are ribonucleoproteins. Lineage: Bacteria; Pseudomonadati; Bacteroidota; Flavobacteriia; Flavobacteriales. The record is from RNAcentral.
CCCGCGCACCGCUCCGUCGCCUUUGCCUUUCGGGGCAAGGGAGGAAAGUCCGGGCAGCAAAGGGCACCGUGCUUCCUAACGGGAAGGGGCGCCGCUGGCGACGGCGGCGUCACGGAAAGUGCCGCAGAAAGGGAGGUUGCCUGCAGGCCGAAAGGCCCUAGGCUGAGGCUUUGGCAAGGUCCGCCUUCGCCAAGGCUUCGGCGGGUAAAAGUGAAAAGGUGGGCCCGCCUUCGUGCGGGAUAGGCGCCUCGGCGCUCAAAGUAAGAGCCCACCAGUGCCUUGCGUGAGCAGGGCAGCUUGGUAAACCCCACGGGCUGAAAGGCCAAAUAGGCCGGGGUUCCCGCCUUCGGGCGGGAUAAGGGCGGCCCGUCCGAUCCCGGCGGGUAGGCUGAUCGAGGUGCCGCGCGAGCGGCAUCCCAGAUAAAUGGCGGAGCCCUGCAUGGCAACAUGCAGGGACAGGAUCCGGCUUAUAGGUGCGCGGGUAUU